This is a non-coding RNA of Biomphalaria pfeifferi, 339 nucleotides long. NCBI's taxonomy places the organism in Eukaryota, Metazoa, Mollusca, Gastropoda, Planorbidae. The record is from the annotation of a GenBank genome assembly.
UUGGUCUUUUAAAAAAUAAUCUGUUUAAUCAGAGAGUGAGUUGUAUUGGACUUAUAUAUAAAAUAUCUUUUAGCUAAUCCAAAAAGAACAUACAUGUAUUAUCAAUAGACAAACACCCGAACUAGAAUAGACCUAAAAAGAUGUGAUUUUAGUCAUAAUUGACUCCACACAAUAGUAAAAGCAAUAAAAUUAAAAACACUCUAGCACAGAAUAGUAAAGUAGCAAUAAUACAUGAAACUUUUGAAAACUAAAUAGUCAAGUAGCAAUUAUAGAUACAACUUUUGAAAACUAAAUAGUCAAGUAGCAAUUAUACAUAAAACUUUUGAAGACUAAAUAGUG